This is a long non-coding RNA of Haemorhous mexicanus (house finch), 1155 nucleotides long. RefSeq lists it as uncharacterized. The record is from RefSeq and is a predicted model, not a curated record. Lineage: Eukaryota; Metazoa; Chordata; Aves; Passeriformes; Fringillidae. The transcript is spliced from 3 exons.
ACAGUCCACAUACAAAGAAUUAGGUGGAAUGGUGCUUUCUCCAUCAGGGCCUACAGUGGGAUCCAGAUAGGGCUCAGCAGAGCGGUGCCAGACAAGGCAAGUCUGUCAUUGUUUAUGGCCAUAGCAAAGUGGGAACACAGUCAGUUGGUUGCUUUCCAGGAAUUGGCUGGAAGACUUAUGACUGGCAGCUAAGGGAAUGCAGGACAAAGCAUGAGCCCAUCACCACUGAGCUCUCAGGAAACUCUGAAUCUCAUUUGUUUGCUACUCCUGAUCUAAGCCAUGGUUAUUUAAAAGAAUCUUCUUUCGAUUCCUUUAAAGUCUUUUGCAUAUGAGUUGGUUCCUCAGUCAAACAGCAAGAAAGCAGGGCACUGCAUAUCAGGAGAGAGCCGGCGGUGGCCGGGGUGGGAAUGAAACCAGCAGGAUUCAGAGUUGCUUCUCAAAUGAAGAAUUGGAGUAGAGCUGAAAGCAGAAUGUGACUGAAGGGCCCAUCUAGGACAAAUCACUGAGGAAUAUCAAACACCACAAUGGAAAAGAAAGACAAAAGUGGAUCCUCAGUUGAAUGUUAACAUUUUGGAUUGGAAGGCUGGCUUGCAGAUGCGGCCCUGCGUACUCCUUCCAGAGUCGAAUGUCUGCUCAUUGUGGUGAAAGGAAGGAAAGGAAAAUCACAAAGGAGAAUCCAGAUGGUGUGUUUUUAGAUAUCUACUGGAAAUGUUUAGGCUUGCUGAGUACUGUAAUAUAUCCCUGGAACAAGAUACCCAGGACAACAAAUUUCAGGGGGGACAUGGAUCUUCAAGCCCUUUUUUUGCAACUUUGAAACUGUAAUCCCUAACUCUCUGUAACUUGUCUGCCCCAGAUGAUGGUGGAGUGACAAAAGAUGAGAACCUGAUGAUCGACUUCCACCAUUCAGUUAUUUCUCCUCUCACAUGUUGUUUUAGCAGGACAUGCGGGCACUGAACUAACAGGACUAUCUUGAAUUUUCAUAUUUAAAAUCUGACAGCUGAAACAUGAGGGACUUUUAUCAGUGCGUAACCACUGCACAACCACGGUAAUGCAGAAAAAAAAAAGAGAGAAGAAAAGAUUUUAAUGUCUGUUGAUAACAGCCAAAGAUUCAUCUCCCUGUACUGCCUUGAAUUUGUUUGGUUUUUUUUUUUUACA